This 410-nucleotide ribosomal RNA is filed under the name Pantoea agglomerans. RNAcentral describes it as "bacterial SSU rRNA". It matches the Rfam family "Bacterial small subunit ribosomal RNA", at positions 355 to 760 of the family's 1533-position model. Lineage: Bacteria; Pseudomonadati; Pseudomonadota; Gammaproteobacteria; Enterobacterales; Erwiniaceae. The record is from RNAcentral.
UGGGGAAUAUUGCACAAUGGGCGCAAGCCUGAUGCAGCCAUGCCGCGUGUAUGAAGAAGGCCUUCGGGUUGUAAAGUACUUUCAGCGGGGAGGAAGGCGAUGCGGUUAAUAACCNCGUCGAUUGACGUUACCCGCAGAAGAAGCACCGGCUAACUCCGUGCCAGCAGCCGCGGUAAUACGGAGGGUGCAAGCGUUAAUCGGAAUUACUGGGCGUAAAGCGCACGCAGGCGGUCUGUUAAGUCAGAUGUGAAAUCCCCGGGCUUAACCUGGGAACUGCAUUUGAAACUGGCAGGCUUGAGUCUUGUAGAGGGGGGUAGAAUUCCAGGUGUAGCGGUGAAAUGCGUAGAGAUCUGGAGGAAUACCGGUGGCGAAGGCGGCCCCCUGACAAAGACUGACGCUCAGGUCGAAGC